This is a long non-coding RNA of Carassius auratus (goldfish), 2234 nucleotides long. Lineage: Eukaryota; Metazoa; Chordata; Actinopteri; Cypriniformes; Cyprinidae. The record is from Ensembl.
GGGAGAGAGGAACUUUUAAAUAUGCAGCAGGUAACAAAAGGUUCUCUGUAAGGUAAGAUUUUCCCCUUACGGAGAAUCUUUUGGUGGGAAUGUACAUGGGAGGGAGACAUAUGAAUCCUUACAUUAAGCCAUGCAAUUAAUGUAAUCCAAGAUGAAGCCGUUUUUUCCGCACAAUAAGAGACCCUCCCCUCACACAUUCUCAGUGGCAUUUGAGGAGGUAUAAAAGCCUUGACGGCCGCUGUCGCCACAGGACCAGUUCUAGUGCAAUACUACAUUGUGUACUGUACACCACCGGACCCUGUCUCUGACCUCCAGCCAUGAUGACCAGGAACAUUCUCAUCCUCUGCUCAUUAGCACUGGUACUGGUUAAAGCGGACCUUGAAGCAGCUGACGGAGGGUCCCAUGCCAUGUUUGCUACAGAUCCAGAUUCAACCUCAGAUGAAGCUCCAACUGAAAGCAUGAACCUGCUCUCACCCGACCUGCCCAAUGAUGCGAGCAGCACCAGUGCCGAGGCAGGAAACAGUGCACCUCAAGUAAAGGAUGUGCCCAAAGCUGAUGCAGCUAAAUCCAGCAUGGAAGAGCCUGAUGAGGAUGAAGCUCCAGACUCAGAGGAGGCGGCGGCGGUGGCAGCGGCUGUGAAACCCGCUCCGGUCCCAGUCCAGCGUGCAACCAAAUCCAAUAAUGCAUCAGCACGCAAGCGGAGCAAGCCCGUCCCUGCCUCAAAAAAGAGAUCAAGAAACCUCCGUCCCUGAGACGUGAACUGUGGCGAGAGAAACAGGGCAAAGCUGCAAUGACAAGGCAGUAAUAGAAGAAGGAGAAAAACAAGCGAUAUAAAAGUGUUCAGUGGCAUUUUUUUUUUUUUUUUUUGAAAAUCUUGAACUAGACUGUAUCUUCUGUGAUGUACUGAUCGGUUUGUGUGUUUGACUGUGUGUUUGUGUUGGUGUGAAUGCGUAUGACCUCUGUUAAUGUGAGCUACAUGAUUGUUCUUGCCAAAUAUUCUUCCAGACUUUACCCAGAGGCAAGGCUGACAUGGACACUUUAUAUGAUUGAUUUCAUUUCAGAUCAGACUAGAAGUUAAAUCUGAUAUAGUAAUAAGCUGAAAAUUCAGUUUUUUUUUUUGCCUGAUUAAUUACAGGAUCAAUUUGAAUCUAUAAAUCUCAGACUUGAUAAAACCGGUGCUGGCAGCCUGAUGACAUUGUGCUCAGAUGUGCCAUGACUUUAGCGACUAGCAAACACAAAAGCCUUCGCUCUCCUCACAAUGUCAGUGUUUCAAUCAAAAGUGUUUCUCUCUUUGUUUUCAGCAACUUUUUUUUAUACACAAAGUAUUUAACAUUAUUGAAUUUACAAAUAUUACAAUCAAUAACAUGUUAUUCUGAAACAUUUCUUUCCUUUUAUUGUACCCUUAAAUAAAACUCUAAGCAAUGAAUAUGCUAAAUUGCAACCACGUGUCUCUUUCACUAUGAUACUACAUUUGGUUAUCACAAAAUAUUGUGUGUGUGUGUGUGUGAGACCCUGGACCACAAAACCAGUCUUAAGUGUCAAUUUUUCGCAAUUUGAAUAAAUAAGCUUUCCAUUGAUAUUUGGUUUAUUAAAAGCAAUAUUUGGCCAAGUUACAGCUAUUUGAAUAUCUGGAAUCUGAGGGUGCAAAAAAAAUCGAAAUAAUGAGAAAAUCACCUUUGAAUUUGUCCAAAUGAACUCUUAGCAAUGCAUAUUACUAAUCAAAAAUUAUGUUUUGAUAUAUUUAAGGUAGGAAAUUUACAAAAUAUCUUCAUGGACCAUGAUUUUUUGAUUAAUAUCCUAAUGAUUUUUGGCAUAAAAGAAAAAUCGAUAAUUUUGACCCAAACUAUGUUUUUUGGUCUAUUGUUAUAAAUAUACCCCAGCGACUUAAGACUGGUUUCGUUGCAAAAAAAAAAAAAAAAAAUGUAUUUCUGAAAAAUUAACUGUUUGCCUUCAAGGGGUGAAAUAUCCUGGGGGACACAAACAUUUGAGAAGCUGAGGGGAGAAGCAGUGAAAGUGUAGGUCUCAUUUCUUGGUUUCAUCUUGAAAAGGUGUUUGUUGUGAAUAUUUAGAUGAAGUGACUUUUGUUUCUUCAUUCUUUAUUUAGCUCACGGGCAGUAUUUAAAACUGCAUGGCCGCCUGCAGUGGGAAAUACUCACCCUCCAAUACAUGUUGGUCUUGUUCACAUAUUUGGAGGGAACUUUUAUAAAUUAAAUGCUUUUUUUUUUUUUUUUUCG